RNAcentral lists this ribosomal RNA (465 nucleotides) under Vreelandella stevensii. RNAcentral's name for it is "partial 16S ribosomal RNA". It matches the Rfam family "Bacterial small subunit ribosomal RNA", at positions 338 to 795 of the family's 1533-position model. Lineage: Bacteria; Pseudomonadati; Pseudomonadota; Gammaproteobacteria; Oceanospirillales; Halomonadaceae. The record is from RNAcentral.
CCUACGGGGGGCAGCAGUGGGGAAUAUUGGACAAUGGGGGGAACCCUGAUCCAGCCAUGCCGCGUGUGUGAAGAAGGCCCUCGGGUUGUAAAGCACUUUCAGUGAGGAAGAACGCCUGGUGGUUAAUACCCAUCAGGAAAGACAUCACUCACAGAAGAAGCACCGGCUAACUCCGUGCCAGCAGCCGCGGUAAUACGGAGGGUGCGAGCGUUAAUCGGAAUUACUGGGCGUAAAGCGCGCGUAGGUGGCUUGAUAAGCCGGUUGUGAAAGCCCCGGGCUCAACCUGGGAACGGCAUCCGGAACUGGCAAGCUAGGGUGCAGGAGGGGAAGGGAGGAUUCCCGGUGUAGCGGUGAAAUGCGGAGAGAUCGGGAGGAAUACCAGUGGCGAAGGCGGCCUUCUGGACUGACACUGACACUGAGGUGCGAAAGCGUGGGUAGCAAACAGGAUUAGAUACCCCUGUAGUC